RNAcentral lists this long non-coding RNA (934 nucleotides) under Homo sapiens (human). Its description in RNAcentral is "non-protein coding lnc-SREK1-1:4". Lineage: Eukaryota; Metazoa; Chordata; Mammalia; Primates; Hominidae. The record is from RNAcentral.
UGAGAGUCUGUGGCUCAGCCAUCGUGACUAUGUAACCAGUAUUGGUCGGUGGCCCAAGGUCUCUCUCCUUUCAGGGUUCAACCUCCAACCUUAUUUCUGCUUCCUUCAUGUUGGAAUUCACACUGUGAGUGCUGCUACCAUAUUCUGCGUUGGAUGUGAGUUCUCAAGUUCUGGUCCAUGGGGAAUGGGCAAGUGAAGAUGAGAAUUGCAAAAAACUAUACUCCGACCAAUAGAAUUGUUGUCAUCCUUUCUCUACGACUCCAAGAGAAACUUUAUACUGGAGGAAGAAUAUUCUACCACUUUGGGAUGCUUCCAAAGAAAUGGGAUACCAAAGGAGUGAACUUCAGGUCAUUGGAAGUGGCCAAGCUGGAGGGCGACCUAUGGAGACAUGACCUUCAGUUCUUCCUGAGAUCGAUAAAGCUUAAAAGAAAAGAAAAAGCCAACUCAGCUUGUGCGUGGAUCCUGGACCUUGCUCUAAUACAGACCCCGCUCCUGGAGUGUAAGCCAUGCUUGACGGCUCAGCUUUCUUGUCACUAAUGAGUCUCGGCUUGGGUCAUGGAAAAACUGAAGAUGCAUUAGAUCAUCAAAGAAAAUGGCACAAACAACCCUGCAAAAGAAAGGAUCUUCUUCCAGAUUAAAUCUCUUAUAAUAUAACUCCUCUAUUGGAUGGUUAAUUCUAACUAUCCAAUGUCUCCCUUUUUUUUUCUUUAAUUUACCAGCCCGGGCAACAUGGUGAAACCCCAUUUUAACAAAAAAUACAAAAAAAUUAGUUGGGGGUGGUGGCAUGCGCCUUUAGUCCCAGCUACUCAGGAGGCUGAGCCUGGGAGGUCGAGACUGCAGUGAACCGUGAUCAUGCCACUGCACUCCAGCCUGGGUGACAGAAUGAGACCCUGUCUCAAAAAAAAGAAAAGUUAACAGCCUUUGCCAGAACUUU